ACCCGCACAAGCGUGGAUGAUGUGGAUUAAUUCGAUGCAACGCGAAGAACCUUUACCAGGUCUUGACAUACUCGUGCUAUUCCUAGAGAUAGGAAGUUCCUUCGGGACACGGGAUACAGGUGGUGCAUGGUUGUCGUCAGCUCGUGUCGUGAGAUGUUGGGUUAAGUCCCGCAACGAGCGCAACCCCUAUUGUUAGUUGCCAUCAUUAAGUUGGGCACUCUAACGAGACUGCCGGUGAUAAACCGGAGGAAGGUGGGGAUGACGUCAAGUCAUCAUGGCCCCUAUGUCCAGGGCUACACACGUGCUACAAUGGGCGAUACAGAGUGACGCGAAGCCGCGAGGUGGAGCAAAUCGCAGAAAAUCGCUCUCAGUUCGGAUUGGAGUCUGAAACCCGACUCCAUGAAGGUGGAAUCGCUAGUAAUCGCGCAUCAGCAUGGCGCGGUGAAUACGUUCCCGGGCCUU
This 462-nucleotide ribosomal RNA is filed under the name uncultured Lactococcus sp. RNAcentral's name for it is "bacterial SSU rRNA". It matches the Rfam family "Bacterial small subunit ribosomal RNA", at positions 919 to 1382 of the family's 1533-position model. The record is from RNAcentral. Lineage: Bacteria; Bacillati; Bacillota; Bacilli; Lactobacillales; Streptococcaceae.